GGUUGCCAUCAUAACAGCACUAAUGCACCGGAUCCCAUCAGAACUCCGCAGUUAAGCGUGCUUGGGCGAGAGUAGUACUAGGAUGGGUGACCCCCUGGGAAGUCCUCGUGUUGCAACCCCCUUUUUUUCGUUUUUUGGUUUAUUUUAUUUACUAGUCGCUGUAUCUUUGACGUAGCAUGCGAGCGGCCGAUUUUGUGAAAGGAAGGCUUUAACGAAUGCGCGCGCGCGCACGGCGGGCCCGAGGCGCGUGACGUUGGGAUCCAGGCGUGGAAAGGUAUAAAGGAAUAAGGAGAAGGUAUUCUUUCGGUUGCGAUCAUACCAGCACUAAUGCACCGGAUCCCAUCAGAACUCCGCAGUUAAGCGUGCUUGGGCGAGAGUAGUACUAGGAUGGGUGACCCCCUGGGAAGUCCUCGUGUUGCAACCC
RNAcentral lists this long non-coding RNA (424 nucleotides) under Helianthus annuus (common sunflower). Lineage: Eukaryota; Viridiplantae; Streptophyta; Magnoliopsida; Asterales; Asteraceae. The record is from RNAcentral.